Molecule: RNA transcript, 8952 nt
Organism: Neofelis nebulosa (Clouded leopard)
Lineage: Eukaryota; Metazoa; Chordata; Mammalia; Carnivora; Felidae
Exons: 10
Source: RefSeq, a predicted model, not a curated record
CCUUGAUGCUGAGAUAAGACAUCCUAUAUAGAGUAGUAAUGUCCCAUUUGAAUAUUUCUCUGUUUAUAUUUUGGGGAAAUCAAAUGUGGUCUAUAAUCUGUAGAACCCAUCACUUAACCACUUUUGCUUAGCAAUUACUAUUUCAUUCUUAAUGUCCCUACUAUCCAUUAAUAUUCAGAUGCUUACAAGGAGACAGGCAUCACGCACAACAAAGGAGUCACGUUUUGUUGUGUAGGUUAUUCAGGCAGCAAGUUUAGCAGACCAAUCCUUGGGUCACUGCAUACUUCUCUGCCUUUUAGAAAAUCUCUUUCCCCUGGCAGUUCAAAUCGAAUCUUUUGAACUGUAAAUAUGGCUAUUUACAUUGCCAGGAAAAAAUAAGUCCAGAAACAUGUCCUCAGAAUUAAGGGCCAAAGUUUAUUUUAAUGUACGGUGAGAGUUUACUAAAAGUAAACCUUUAUUGUACGAUUUUAAAAUAUUAACCACACUCAUAAGAGUUCUGCAGAGAACUGAAACGUAGGAGUAGGGAUGGUCUGGGGCCGAAGACAUCAGCAUUUUGUUACACACAGCCUUGGCUUUGGGCCUUCCAUGUUCUCCAAAGCCUGAGAGACGACGCGGGAUCUGCAAGACAGAAAAAGGCUGUUGCAUGCCUUAACCCAGGCUAAAAGGCCUCUUACCUCCGUUUUGUUAUUUCUGCCUCCAAACAGCAUUCCGAUUAGCUCUUUUUGGUGAUAAAAGAUAAAGAUUUAUUGUACCCCACCUACAACUGGAAUCAGAAUUUCACAGGAGGGUCACAGUCAUUAGAGAAGUUUUUUGGAAUAUUAUUCUCUAAAUAAGCACCAUGUGGGGGUGUUGCUAUUAUUUAACACCUAUUAAGUAGGCACAUCAUUCUAGGCUUUGAACAGCUGAAGAGUCCGGGCCCCAGCUUUCUUGGAGCUUACAGACAAUCCCGCAGACAGGCAGGGGAAGGUCGGCGUGCUCGAUUAAGGGCACAUACUGAGCAAAGUUUAACUACUUGCUGGUUUCCUUCCGCGAGUUUGGAAAAUACAUGGUCUAGGGCUAAAUUCUUAACCCGGAGGAUUGAGUCUCGUUCUAGAACUUCUAACCGGAACCUCGGUAGGGCUGUGACACAGGAACGCAGUCCAAAGUCCAAAGUGCUGUCACACAAGAAAUUCAUUAUGCCCAGCAUGCAACCGACAUGCAUGAAAGGGGCCGCUGGACCUCGGUUAUCUUCCUACAAAUCAAGAAGCCAUUUGGAAACAUCGGGGCCAGGUCAAAAUCGUCAAACUGUAGCCUUGUCUUUCUCCACUUUUUUUUUUUUUUUUUAAUUGUUGCUCACAGUGGCGUUUUUGAAAAGGAAGAAAACAGCCGCCAGCACUGCCAAGCCCUGUUUACUGGAGGGGAAGGAAAGGGGAGGCGGCUCCCUGACUCUCCGGCAGCCUGCGUAAGGGCCUGCGCCCACGAGGGGACCUUGCUGCGGUUUCCAGCGCGGCACCCUGACUCACGCCGCGCCCGUGUUUAUUUAUUCUAGAACUUCUGCCGGGGCCGCACGGCCGCCGGCACAGCGCCUUCGCCCCGCGCCCCGCGCCCCGCUCUGCGCACGUGGAGCCGGGCGGCGGGACCCCACGCGGGCGGCGGCGCCCGGACCCGCCCCGCCGGCGCGCCAGCUGCGCGGCUAUAAUUAGAGAGGAGCCGCGGCCGCGCGCCCCCGCCCGCGUGCCCGCGUGCCCGCGAGGGCCGUGCGCGCGCGCGCGCGGCCGCCCGCGUGCGUUCCGCGGCCUCGCGCUCUGGACCGGUUACCGAGUCGUGCACCAAAUAAAGUAAAGGUCUGGCUCCUGCCGGGCGAGGCGGGCGGGCGAGCGGCGUGCCAGCCGGCUCCGGGGUGUGGCGAGCCCUCGGUUGCCCAGAAAAGAUGCAACGCGCGUCAGCAAGAGCCUUGGCUGCUGCCGCGAGGGUCCCUGACGCGCUGCCGGCUGUCCCGGGUGGAUUUUCUAAGUUGGGGAGGGCGCAUGACAAGAGCUGCCCCAGAUGUCACUCCCUUUUUGGAAAUCAUGAGGCUGCCUUUUUUUUUUUUUUUUUUUUUUUUAACGACUGUGGCUAUAAUAAGGCAAACGGUCCACGCUGGUGGAGUAAACUCUCAUACUUAAGGGGCAUCCGUCUUCGGGGAAAGCACAACGAGGCACGGGUGCGUGUCCAUAAAAAUGUUAUUUAUUAAGCGAACCUCAGGACAUGCCCAUAUGGGUACUACAGAGUCAAAUAAAGUACUGCAACCACCGACUGCCUAAAAGGGAGUUGCCUUUUUACAGAGAGACCUUUCUUAAAAUUACAGCAACGGCCAAAAAGUUUUUUCUUGCGUCAUAGCACCGUUGGGCACUGGAGGUGCCCCGCAAUCCAUGGACUUCUAAUUUCCGUUCAUUGUUAGAUUCAAUACUCUGCAGUAACGUCUCAAAAAAAAUCCAAGAAGCAUGACCCCAUCCUUGCACAAGAUGACGCCGAAAUGGCAUGUAGUACCAGCCUUGGAGUGCGGGCCGAGGAACUUCACUGUGGACUGAGGGUUGUGUAAUAGUUUCAGGCACGAAAUCAUUUUAGAAGCGUGGGAUGAAUUCCUACAGAACCGUCCCCUCCUGUAUUUUAUCGAAGAACUCGCAAGGUUUCUCAGGUUGCAGCUCGAUUCCUACGAAGCUAUUUUUGCUCUUUGCCCGAGCCCAUUGGUCUUGACACAGCAUCGCUAGAGUCACCCGCUCCGCUCCUGGACAAAAGACCUUUGAGAGCGAAUUCUGCAGAGAGAGUCUCUCUGAAAACACACCUCAGAAUUGUCCAAUUCUGUCCCAGACACACGACAACACUGGAACAGAGGUCGGGACGUCUCCAGGUGUUCCUGGGCUUUGGGUGAUCAUUUCAGAGAGGCUGGGGAGGACAGCCACAGGUUAAUGAACGCGAAAGGGUGAAAAGCCCCUGGUGAAACUGAUCUGACAAGAGCUUUCUUCUCUGAGCAAGGACGAUGCUAUCUUUUGUCCCUUCAUAUACGAAGGGCCUUGUUUGUGCCAGAGCCUGUCCGAGGCCCUUAAGGUCUAGAGAGAGAAGACCUCCAUUAUCUCAAGCUUUCCAAAGUAUCCUUCCUGAUCCGAUGCCACAAUUCUCUGGGGCCAAAAUGCAAAAUGAAGUCACCGUGAAGCUGCCGUUGACUCACUACGGGACACUGGUUUCCAGACAGAGACAGAGCAUGCGUGGGGAAGGAACAAAGAGAGAGGGAGACGCAGAAUCCCAAGCAGGCCCCAGGCUCCGAGCUGUCAGCACAGAGCCCGACACGGGGCUCGAACCCACGGACCGUGAGAUCAUGACCUGAGCCGAAGUCGGACGCUUAACCGACCGAGCCACCCGGGCAUCCUGAACUGUGGUUUCCCGCACACGAAGACAUGCAGAGCUCUAGUUUCUUCAUUCACAGAGGCCUGGAGAAGAACAGACGGUCCAGGGCGGACUGGUAAACUAGCGCUGAGACCAGGGACAGGAAGUGAGCUACCCUAACAACACCUACUACGUGCUGGGCCUUGCGUUGGGCAUUAUCUUAUUUACUCCGAAAAGCGAUUGGGCGGCCUCACUAAUUCCCAUUGUAUGGUUGGGGAAAACUCAGAAAGUCACACUCAGGAAGUGACAGAGACGUGGCUUGAGCUGAGUCCGUGUGAUUUCACUGGCCCGCCAACUUUCAUCUUAAUCACAGAAUGUUCACUGUUCCACGGCAAAGGGGAAUAUUCGAGACCGACCACCUGUUCGAAGAAAAUCUAAGCGGCCUCUGCGGUUCACAUUAUAUUUACAUCGGAGAGCGCCAGUGUCUAGGGGAGUGUAUUUGCGAAUUCUGGAUAAAAGGUAAGCGGCUUGUUAAAAUUCUCCUCAGCCUCAGAAAAUGCUUUCGUGCCACUAACACCGGCCCCGAAAGGAAGCAAAGUUGGGAGGCUCAGUCGCGGCGUGGGCCCGUGCAGUCCUCCUGGCCCCCCGCGGGCCGCGCUGGGGGCUCCGUCACGCUCGUGCCCUUAAACUGCGCCAUCAUUUCUUUUCUUGAGCAAAGUGCUUCGUCAUUCCUCUCUGGGAGGCAGGUAGGUGAUGAAACCACGGCACAGAGAAAUGACCUGAUCUCUCCAAGGUCGUUAUGGAAGGCCAUGGCCAAACCCCGCAGAGCAGUCUACUGCAGAGUUUACCCCCCGAAAUGCUUUUCUGGUGGGUGAUCUUAACUGCAGGAGAGCAGGUUCAAUGCCCGGGCUUACGGGGGUGGGGGAAGGGAUCACAAUGUCUGCGAGUGCCUGACCCCACCCGUCCCGCGUAGUAUUCACCGCUCCCUGGGCUCAAUAACUUCCAUUCUCCUAACGGAGAUGGAAAGUGCCGUCGUAUCCCUCUUUGAUGAUUUAAAAGUGUUGUGCGUCUUUUCCUCUUUCCUCUUUCUAUCCAGCCCUCUCCCUUCCCCUUGCCGCUUUUCACGUUUCCAUAGCAACCACCUCUCUUGUAUCCGUGACUGUGAAGAGAAAUCUUGCAGAUGUUAGUAGAGAUCCAACACCUUCCAGCAGCUAUUUUGAUUCACAGUCUCCUUAUCUCUCGGCGCUGAUUUUCUUGUCCUUUCUUCUCCCUACAGCUGCUCGCUUCCCCCCCAAGUACCUGCAAGCCCUUUAGCGUGGCUCCCUCUGUCCUCCACGAGCCUGGCUCCCGCUCGCCUCCACCCCAGCCUCGUGGAAAGCUCGGGACCACACCCGUGCCUUUGAAUGUCUUCAUUCUGUGCAUUUCCCGCAGAGGGAUCAGCCACCUUUCCUUGCUGGUUCAGAGGACAGGGCAGACAUGGGAACACGCACACGCACACGCUCUCGUCAGGGCUUUGAAGACCCACGACACCUGAAUCCCCCACCUCCCCUCUCAGGGCCAGGCUCAGCUGGCCAUCUGGAAAGGCCAUCAGAAUGGGGCUUUAUCGUUCCCCUCCCGAAACUGUUUGAAGAGUUCAUAGCCUACAAUCCCUCCUUGGAACCGGGCAUUAUUCUCUUGAUUACACAAGCCUGACAGCCUGAUCAUAAUAAACAUGUAACUGAAGAGAACCUAUUCCUUUCCAGCGGCAUUAUUUAUUCACCUAAAGCAAAGGCUGAGCUAUAUUUAGCAUAUGAUGUCAGUGGGUUGUUUGGAUUCUUGGAAAUUGGCAGGAAGCCACCUCUCACAUGAUAUAUGAAAUCACUGAUAAAUGCUUCUUUUCACCAAAAGAAAAACAGCUUAAUAAAUGCGGUCCUUUUCUGCUUUCAUCUUCUCCCUCCCUCCCUCCCUCUCCUCCACCGUCCUCCCUCCCCGCCGGCCCCUCCCCCUCCACCUCCUCCCGCCCCUUCCACGUCUGGGAUUUGUCUUUCUGUGGCACAGCUCAGCAGAGCCUGUGAAGUGGAAAUGAGUUGCUCAGUAUCACAGAUCAAAAUGAGGCUGUUGGGAUGCUCGGGAUGGUUUUUUUCCUCUCCUAGAGCCUGGAAGGCGGCCAAAGCGCGAGUGAAUCAGACACACACGCACAAAAAGGCAAAUCUAUACAGCAGUGGCUUUAUGGGGCCCAGUAUUUAUGGUGCAGCACUCGCUCUGGGUUGCUAUUUUGCAGGCGAAGAUGGGAAAUAGAUAGUGAUUCAGGAUUGCCAUUAAGUGUGGAAACAGCCCCUGUACAGAUUGUGUGUAAUAAACCAAGUACGGAGAGAAGCCGUAAGAAGCCCAGGAUUUGCCACACUGGAUCAGCCUUGAGGCCCAUCAAGUUCAAGCUCCUGAUUUGUGUGCUGGCUAAUACCUGGUGCUUGGAACAAAUCUUGCUGCCUUCCCUCUGUCUUCCCCGCCAUGCGCUUGGUCCAUUAUACAAGGCUGUCGGAGGGCUUGGGCGGGCCUGUGUGUUUGGAGUUAAAUUAAUUCUUGCCCUCCUGUGGAGAUCAGUUUAUAUGGCCCGAAGCGGAAGAUUUAAUUGCCCUUCUCUUAGCUCCUGUAAAAAGCAGCGUCAUUACUGAUCUCGUGGAUUCACCCAGGCCCUUUCAUAAUCAGCUGUCGCGUUUAACUCAGUGACCCCCAGCAGGGGCCUGGUGGGUAGUUUUCCUGGCCAUGGGGAAUGGGGAAGGCAUGGCCCCCAAUGGCGGUGGUUCAUUUACGUUUGUCCUCAGUGCCGUCCCGCGGCCCCCCGGUCCUGGCAUCGGAAGACAUCCUGAAGACCAGAGAUGCACUUGUUUUCACCCCUUAUUAUUUGGGGUGUCUUCAUCAGGUGCCUUCCAACAUCCGCUCUGUCAAACAGUCCUGCCUGUAACCGCGGGCGUGAGAGUUUCAAAGAUGCCACCGUGACACUGGCUGCUGCUGGCCUUUCUUCCGCACCCGCCCCUGGGCUGAGCCGGCUCCCACAACUCUUCAAUCUUCAGCCUCAGUCGGAGAGGAGAACCGAAAGGGAGGAGGAGGAGGAAGUGAGAGCAAACCAAAGCUGUGUUCCUCCUGUACCUGCCUCGGUUCUUAGUGGGGUGCGGGAUAGAUGGAUGGGGACAAUAGACAGAUUAACCGGGACAGAGGGGGGAUGCACCCUGGCAUCAAUUACUCAGCGAGAAAUCCCACCAAAUGAACUCUGGUUGCAGGUCAAAGCUGUUCUCCGAUUCCACGGUCAAAUUAGCCCUCGCUUGGGACUCCAUAAUAGGGACUGCAGGUGAGGUGAAUGAGCUCUCAGACACAGAUGCUUCAGGAACACGCCCUGAGGAACAGAGACAGGAACAGGAACAGGGCGCCGAGGCUGCUGUGGGUCCUGAGCGAGCAGUUUUAAGGAGCCCCCCCGCCCCCGACUCCCCGCGAACCACAGCGCCCACCAGUGAGCCAGCCUGGUCCCGCUUUGACCUCCGGGAUCCGGGGCUUCUGAGGACAGAUCUAGAGCUCGUGAACUGGGUGGUUGCACCAACUCUGGGCAGGUGGACACAUCUCCACCCGGCCAGGUUACUGUCGCAGCCCUCGCUGCAUUCUGCUCCCCAGCCCUCGUGACAGCAAGAAAACCCCACGCUUUUACGAAAAAAGCUCGUAUUCGAAAGGAUCGCUAAGCUUUCUAGUCCACCCCACUGAUGGCCGUUUCAUAGCCAAACCAUUUCAUCUGACAUUUUUAAAGUGAAGAUGAUGGGUGCCUGGGUGGCUCGGUCGGUUAGGUGUCCAACUCCCGAGUUCGGCUCAAGCCAUGAUCUCGCGGUUCGUGAGUCUGAGCCCCACGUCAGGCUCUGUGCUGACAGCGCAGAGCCUGCUUGGGAUUCUCUGUCUCCUCCUUCUCGGCCCCUCCCUGACUUGUGCCCUCUCCCUCCCUCAAAAAAUAAACUUAAAAAAAAAAAAAAAAAAGUGAAGAUGAUCUUCCGCUUUUGUAUAUUCAAUAUUUGCCGAGUACUUACUAGGUGCUUACUGAGUUCCUGCUAGCACAAGUACUGUUUGGGGCACUGUCUCCAAGAGUCUGCAUGCUUAGGAUGGGCAUACUCUCGAAAUCCUAGUGUUCCGGGGAAAGCAUUUCUUGUGAUUUUUCCCGCAGCACCCACUCUUCCUCUCCAAGGUGACCCCUCUAAGCCGUGAGAGAAAUUAAAAAUGCCUUCAUGGAAUCAUUAUCCCGUGAUCCUCAAUGUGAUUGCUAACGUUACCACUAGGACCUUUCCGCAAGUCGCCAGUUGAGCACCUGUGUGUAUGAGACCGGGAGAGAAUGAGGGAGAAAAGACUGCCGUCGCUAUUGUUCCUAAAUGACAAGAUUGGUUUUAUCACCAUGGUGUAAUUAUUAGUGUUACGUAUCACCUUUACCUCUUAUUUAUGUAAUAGUUCAGAAGCUAAAAAAAAUUCUUUAUUUCUUGGCAAAUCUUGGAUUCGACGGCCAUUUGUUAAAUUGGGUGGAGCAUGAGCUUCUCAGAUCCUAAGUGUAUUUGUUUUUACUGCCGCGUAAAGUUACCAUGAGCUCAGCAGCUCGAAGUGACACACGUUUAUUAUGUCUCAUCUUCUACCGGUUAGCUGGGUCCUCUGCACAGGGUCUCACAAGACCGUAGUCAGUGUGUCCACUGGAGCUGGGGUCUCCUCUGGGCGCAGGGUCCUUUCUCUCCCAAGUUCAUAGGGCAGAAUUCAUUUCCUCCCAAGCGUCUCCUGGUAGGUUUGCUUCUUCCAGGCCAGCAAGUGCGAGAGAGGAUCUGAUGCUUUGUCUGUGCCCCUCUAGAUUUUCUUUUAAAGGGCCCAUCUGAUUAGGUCAGACCCACCCAAGAUAAUCUCUCCUGUGAUUCAGCCAAAGACACCUGAUUAGAGACCUUCAUUACAUCUGCAAAAUCCCUUCACCUUCGCCACUCGCAUCAUGAAACACAGGGAUGAGUGAUACCCUUCCACCUUUGCUGCAUUCUAUGGUUGGAAUGCAAACCAAGGCCCUGUUCGCACUCAAGGGGAGAAGGUUACAUGUUACCAGGGUGAGGGACGCUGGGGAUCAUUUUAGAAUCUGUGGAUAGCAAGGUUGUCUGCAUGCUUUUUCAUCGAUUUAUACUCAGCAGAGCAACAGGCAUACAAUGUAAAAAUAAUUGACGGGUCCUGAGAACGUAGCGACUGGAAACAGAUUCAUGUUUUUGAAGGCGCACUCCAGAGCACACUCUGAGAAAGGUCACUUUCUCCCCCCAGCAGGUCUUAACAGGGGAGGGUGGAGGGAAGCAUGGGUAGGUGACGGUUCAGAAAGCACACGAGCUAAAAGAAACACGAGCCGGAAAAAUCUAGGUUCCCGUUCUAGCUGCUCCUCAGAAAGCUGUGUGAGCUUCCCCUAUCUGGGGAGCAGGGUGGGAGGGAAAUGGUAGCUGCCUUCCCUUGCAGGUCUGCUGAACAGGCAGAAAGAGACCAACAAACCCUUGUGGGGACAAAGGUCUUCACUGUCCUGACACAGACUGUCGGGAAGCUGGUGGAUCACACUGUGCUUCUGUCUCAAAAGGCGGGUGCGUGAUCACAUCACCA